GAUGGUGAUUAAGCAUGCCUACUGUAAUGGUCAUAGUCCGCAUACGGACUAAUCCUGUC
Prochlorococcus marinus is the source of this 59-nucleotide regulatory RNA element. It matches the Rfam family "psbNH RNA". NCBI's taxonomy places the organism in Bacteria, Bacillati, Cyanobacteriota, Cyanophyceae, Synechococcales, Prochlorococcaceae. The record is from Rfam.